Molecule: unclassified non-coding RNA, 307 nt
Filed under: plant metagenome
Description: partial contains 5.8S ribosomal RNA, internal transcribed spacer 2, and large subunit ribosomal RNA
Rfam family: 5.8S ribosomal RNA (bases 1-105)
Source: RNAcentral
GAAAUGCGAUAAGUAGUGUGAAUUGCAGAAUUCAGUGAAUCAUCGAAUCUUUGAACGCACAUUGCGCCCCUCGGCAUUCCGUGGGGCAUGCCUGUUCGAGCGUCAUCUACACCCUCAAGCUCUGCUUGGUGUUGGGCGUCUGUCCCGCCUCCGCGCGCGGACUCGCCCCAAAUGCAUUGGCAGCGGUUCCUUGCCCCCCUCUUUGCGCAGCACAUUGCCAUACGAGGCGGCGGCGGCCCGCGUCCAACAAGCUCAACCCCCCCGUCUUUGACCUCGGAUCAGGUAGGGAUACCCGCUGAACUUAAGC